ACCAAUUCCAGCAGGAUAUAUCAUUCCUCUUGGUUUAAUGGCUCGGACGCGAUAUUUAUUAUGUGGUUAUCCUGAUGGAUGGCUUCUCCACCAUGCCAUUUUAUCCUGGAAACGCCACAAAUAUUC
Neltuma alba is the source of this 126-nucleotide small nucleolar RNA. Lineage: Eukaryota; Viridiplantae; Streptophyta; Magnoliopsida; Fabales; Fabaceae. The record is from RefSeq and is a predicted model, not a curated record.